CCAAAAAGAAAAAAAAACGAGGACAGGAACUUGGUUUGUUUUUGAGACAGGAUCAAUCUGUCUGGCUUGCAAAUGCUGUGUGGAACAACGUGGCGUCAGUCUCACAGAGCUCUUCCCGCCUCUGCCUCCUGAGUGCUGGUAUUAAGGGUGUGUACUACCAGGCCUGGUGUGAACUGAGUUUAAGGACCCCAGAUUUGAUCUCCAGAACUAUAGAAGA
Nannospalax galili (Upper Galilee mountains blind mole rat) is the source of this 217-nucleotide long non-coding RNA. RefSeq lists it as uncharacterized. The record is from RefSeq and is a predicted model, not a curated record. The transcript has 3 exons. Lineage: Eukaryota; Metazoa; Chordata; Mammalia; Rodentia; Spalacidae.